CUCCGCCCCAGUCUGCCCCAGCAGAAGCUCUUUACCGUGCCACCUGCAAGCCCAAUGCUUCAUCGUAGCUCAGGCCCUAGGCUUAAGGGAUCCCUAAGCCCUUCCCCAUCCCAGUCAGGUGGCUUCCUUGAGGUGGCCACAGGUGUGCCCCUUUAUCCUGCUGGACAACUCAUUGCUUAGGCAGCAGCAUUUCCUUGCUGCCUGUCUUCUCACAGCUGGCUCCUGUUUAGAUUCUCGGGCGCUAG
Long non-coding RNA from Gavialis gangeticus (Gharial), 245 nucleotides. RefSeq lists it as uncharacterized. NCBI's taxonomy places the organism in Eukaryota, Metazoa, Chordata, Crocodylia, Gavialidae. The record is from RefSeq and is a predicted model, not a curated record. The transcript is spliced from 3 exons.